ACCUACGGGGGGCAGCAGUGGGGAAUAUUGGGCAAUGGGCGCAAGCCUGACCCAGCAACGCCGCGUGAAGGAAGAAGGCUUUCGGGUUGUAAACUUCUUUUGUCAGGGACGAAGCAAGUGACGGUACCUGACGAAUAAGCCACGGCUAACUACGUGCCAGCAGCCGCGGUAAUACGUAGGGGGCAAGCGUUAUCCGGAUUUACUGGGUGUAAAGGGAGCGUAGACGGACUUGCAAGUCUGAUGUGAAAAUCCGGGGCCCAACCCCGGAACUGCAUUGGAAACUGUAUAUCUAGAGUGUCGGAGAG
RNAcentral lists this ribosomal RNA (305 nucleotides) under uncultured bacterium. Its description in RNAcentral is "bacterial SSU rRNA". It matches the Rfam family "Bacterial small subunit ribosomal RNA", at positions 337 to 656 of the family's 1533-position model. The record is from RNAcentral.